Molecule: long non-coding RNA, 223 nt
Filed under: Citrus maxima (pomelo)
Lineage: Eukaryota; Viridiplantae; Streptophyta; Magnoliopsida; Sapindales; Rutaceae
Description: long non-coding RNA (CMAX_LNC003034)
Source: RNAcentral
GAAAGAUGAUAAAAGUGAAGAAAAAGAUAUUUUAAAUAUUUAAUAAAUUUUAAGAAAAUUUUAAAAGGUGUUAAAGUUAUUAGUCGAAAGGUUCACGUUAAUUAUAACAUGAAACCACCCAUAUACAAUAUAACAAAUGGCCGGCUCGAAAUUUCAUUUUCUAUUUUCCUUCCUCUCUUUCGACUUGACUAAUCUCCUUUGCAGUGGCGGCACUAUAAUUCCU